GACGAACGCUGGCGGCGUGCUUAACACAUGCAAGUCGAACGGAAAGGCCCUGCUUUUGUGGGGUGCUCGAGUGGCGAACGGGUGAGUAACACGUGAGUAACCUGCCCUUGACUUUGGGAUAACUUCAGGAAACUGGGGCUAAUACCGGAUAGGAGCUCCUGCUGCAUGGUGGGGGUUGGAUAGUUUCGGCGGGUGGGGAUGGACUCGCGGCUUAUCAGCUUGUUGGUGGGGUAGUGGCUUACCAAGGCUUUGACGGGUAGCCGGCCUGAGAGGGUGACCGGCCACAUUGGGACUGAGAGACGGCCCAGACUCCUACGGGAGGCAGCAGUGGGGAGUAUUGCACAAUGGGCGGAAGCCUGAUGCAGCAACGCCGCGUGCGGGAUGACGGCCUUCGGGUUGUAAACCGCUUUCGCCUGUGACGAAGCGUGAGUGACGGUAAUGGGUAAAGAAGCACCGGCUAACUACGUG
RNAcentral lists this ribosomal RNA (468 nucleotides) under uncultured bacterium. Its description in RNAcentral is "partial 16S ribosomal RNA". It matches the Rfam family "Bacterial small subunit ribosomal RNA", at positions 28 to 507 of the family's 1533-position model. The record is from RNAcentral.